This is an unclassified non-coding RNA of Otolemur garnettii (small-eared galago), 103 nucleotides long. It matches the Rfam family "Y RNA". From Rfam's summary of the family: Y RNAs are components of the Ro ribonucleoprotein particle (Ro RNP), in association with Ro60 and La proteins. The Y RNAs and Ro60 and La proteins are well conserved, but the function of the Ro RNP is not known. Lineage: Eukaryota; Metazoa; Chordata; Mammalia; Primates; Galagidae. The record is from Ensembl.
GGCUGGUCUGAGUGCAGAGGUAUUUACAACCAGUUGAUCACAACCACUUACACAAUUCCUUUGUUCCUUCUCCACUCCCACUGCUUCACUUGACUAGCCUUAA